Molecule: RNA transcript, 3813 nt
Organism: Ricinus communis (castor bean)
Lineage: Eukaryota; Viridiplantae; Streptophyta; Magnoliopsida; Malpighiales; Euphorbiaceae
Exons: 4
Source: RefSeq, a predicted model, not a curated record
UUGGCAUAAACUGAUUGGUAUAUGGCAAAACUCGAUUAUCCAAUAAUGAUCCCAAAGACCAUUUAUUUAAAUCCAUGCCACUGCCAGUGAGUAAACUGGAAGGUAAGAGUCCAGAAGACCCAACUCGCAACCAUCUCUGGCUUGACUUACAGAGCAAUAAGCCAUCUCAUCUCAACUCAAGACCACAGCAGCAGCAGCACACCCUUUACUGUUCUUUGUCUUUUAAUGAUGCCACCAUCAUCUCCGGAAUCAACGCGCACGUUAGCGAAAGGAUAAAAACGUAAUCUUUCUCUCUCUCUUUUCUCUAUCCUAUGAAAUGCUCAUUCUUCAAGUGCCCAAAUAAGCAUCCUUUGUUUGUCCAAAUCUUUAUGUAAAUAGACGCCAAAUCCACCCCUCUCUAUAUCUCCGUCACUGGGUUUGGUUUAGGUCACCAAUUUCCUUAUAGAAAAAUCAAUCUUUGAAUUGAUCAGAGAGAGAAAAGUUAUGGGCGGAGAAGGAGGAGCAGAGCCACAGUAUGUGACGGCAAAGAUUUCAGUUUGGUGGGAUAUAGAAAAUUGUCAAGUGCCAAGAGACUGUGACCCACAUGCCAUAGCUCAAAAUAUAAGCUCUGCUUUGGUCAAGAUGAAUUAUUGUGGACCAGUAUCUAUUUCUGCUUACGGAGAUACUAAUCGGAUUAAUUCAGCUGUACAGCAAGCUCUUUCUAGUACUGGCAUCGCACUUAAUCAUGUUCCAGCUGGUGUUAAAGAUGCGAGUGACAAGAAGAUUCUUGUGGAUAUGUUGUUCUGGGCAGUGGACAAUCCUGCACCUGCUAAUUAUUUGUUAAUCUCUGGUGAUAGAGACUUCUCUAAUGCUCUCCAUCAAUUGCGGAUGAGGAGAUACAAUAUUCUUUUAGCACAGCCCCAACGAGCAUCUGCACCCCUCCUUGCAGCUGCUAGGAGUGUAUGGCUUUGGACGAGUCUUGUCGCUGGAGGACCGCCAGUGAGAGAGGUUGAAUCACUGCCACUUGGUAAUAUUAGUUAUACAUCCACUUCAGACACAUUACAUAUUCCUGUUACUGACACUGUUCACUUAAAGCAACCAUCAGAUUCCUAUUCUGAGAAUCCCCAUAUGGGAAAUCAGAGAACUACUUACAUAACUAAACAAAAAGGGAAAACCAAUCGAAGAAACUUAAACCAAACAAAUGGAUCAAAAACGUCAAAUGCGCCUGUUUGGGCUCAAGAAGAUCAGCCAAAUUCAAACUCCUAUCAACCUGGUCCUUAUGUCCCAAAAGUUACUGUAAGUGGGCCUUCUCCGAAUUUCAAUCCUGGAAGUCCUAACUUUACUUGGAGUGAUGUCACUAAUGUUCGUGACAACCAUCAAAGUCACUUUACACAGCCAUUAAGGCCAAAUGCCUCAGCUAUGCAACCUGAUUUUGCAGCUGGUAACAUGUAUCCUCCUAAUUUUCAAAUCCAUGCUCCUCUAAUGCCUCCUAGGCCCAACGGAACUACCUUCACCUCAGAGCCUCCUACAAAUGUGCCUGACAUUGGCAACUUGCACAUUUCUGGAUACCCUACCAGCUUUCACAAUCCUCCAAAUGCUCAAAGAAGAAAUGGAGAGCAAAAACAUGAUGCAAAGAGAAAAGCUCCAAAGUCUGUAAAUUUAAAUAAUUCUCAAAAUGGAUAUACGACGCAGAACAACCCAUCAGGAUAUCAUGAGACAGUGAAUAAUAGAUACCCUGGUGGUUCAGAAUAUCCACCAUCAUCUUCAUCAGCAACAGCUACUGAAGUUGCUCCUGUUAAUGUUAUAUGGGGAAUGCCAGGAUGCCCAAAACCUUCAGAAUAUGUCCAAGGCCUUAUAGGAGUUAUCUUACUUGCCUUGAACACUCUUAAAAGUGAAAAGAUUAUGCCAACUGAAGCAAAUAUAGCUGAUUGCAUUAGAUAUGGAGAUCCCAAACAUCGCAAUACUGACAUCAAAAAGGCCCUUGAGAGCGCUAUUGAGCAGCAGAUGGUCAUGAAGCAAAACCUAGGAGCUGUGCAAUUGUACGUUGGUAAGAAUGAGAAACUGUGGAGAUGUGUUAACCCUAUAGGUGGUAGUCUGAAAGAAUAUCCAAAAGCAACAUGGGAUGAAAUUCAGAAAUUUCUUGCAUCCUCUGCAGGACGAUCUGCAAUCAUGUCUUCUCAGUGCAGGUAUGAAGCAGCUACUAUCAUAAAGAGUAUGUGCUUGAAAGAACUUGCUUUGGGUAAUAUACUUCAGAUCUUAAACAUGGUAAUUGCCUUAAAGAAAUGGAUUAUACAUCAUCAAUCAGGAUGGCAACCACUUACCAUUACUCUUGCAGAGGCCAAUUGUAAUUUAGGGUCUGCAGCUGGGACAUAGGUUCAAUUUAUGGUACAAGGGAAAGGGCUUGGUAGAUAGUUAAGGGCACUAAACAAAGUUAUCAUAGGUUAAGAGUGCUUAAAAUAGCAAAAGCUCUUUUUCUUUAGAUAUGGAGAGGUGGUGGUAAUAGAGAGACUUUUAUGGUGGUAUGAUAAGCGCAUUGGAAUAGCUGAUCUUACUUCAAUUUCUCAUCCCUGGUAAAGGUCUUAAGCUUUAUCUUGAGGAAUAUAAUUGAAGAAGUGCUUAAACAAGCUUAAAUUGGAAACUACACAAGACAACUUCUCAGUUUCUGGUUUUUAGUUUAUAUACAUGCUUUUGGCAUCUGAGUUUUACCUUCAAUAUCUAGGUAUUAUGACAGUGGCCUCUAGUUGCGUUUAUGUCCUCUUUUACAUCUUCAUGACUUUACUGGGGUUUUGCAUACUUGUCUGCACAUGUCCACGAUUGUUCCAACCAUCAAUUCCGGUGUUCUGCUUGAUUGCAUGGCUGGGAUGCUUGUGUGCAUGAGCGCAGAAGUGUGCCGAAAUUCACCCUUAUUAAGAUAGACCUGUUACAAGCUCCCAGUUCAAGCCAUCCAGAGAAAAUUGCUGGAAAGAUUUCUAUUCUCCAGCAUAUGGAUUAUAUUAGCUAAUUAAAGACCGCCUUUCUACUUGUUAAACUAGGGGGUAUUAAUUUAUUAUUUAUUACCUCAAAUCAUACAUAAGUUACUGCCCUAAAUUACUGAACCAAACUAUACUUGAUGGGAGGAUUUGAAAUUGGUUCAAGUCAAGAGGCGGGAAGCUUGACUAGUUGAUUGAAAAAGAUGCGAGUUGAUCAUUCAAAUUAUCAAGUUACACAUCAAUGACAUAUCACUUAUGUAUCAUAUAAAGUUGGGAACUUUUUGCUGGAAGUCUGGGAGCUCCGACAAAGAUAAUUUUCAAAUGAAAGAAGUGGGAAUGAGAAACUCAACAGAAAAUGAUGUUUUUCACACUCAACAGCAAAGUGUGGACUUAGGUCAAUAAGAAGCCCUUAGCAAAAUGGUGUCGCUCUUCCACCAAAGGCUAUUGAAUGAAAAUCGAUAAUGCAGAUACCUUGUGAGAACAUGAUGCUGAAUUUUUUUGUGACUAGGGUCUUUGCUAUAAUAACGCUAGCUUUCUUUACCAACAUAUAACUUUCUCCGAUGGAAUUUGCCGACAUAUAACUGAAAGUCAGUGAUUCUGAAGCUUUCAGUAGUUGUAUCUUCUGGGUUCUGGCCUUUCUUAUAGAAAACCAUUUCUUAAAGUGGUUUUACGUAUCAUCCAAUAGUGGAAAUUGUUGGUAAACUCAAGCACCCUGUGAGCUGAAUGAAUCUGGUUCAUAAUGUUGUUGGAAACCAUCAAUCUGGUUUCCAACCAACAAAAAUGGCAGAUGAUAGCAAUGGCUCCUUGGUCCCCACCAAUACUUUGAGGUGCUGGCUUUUAUUUGAGUCCUCUCAGUUUUGACCAA